AUUGAACGCUGGCGGCAGGCCUAACACAUGCAAGUCGAACGAGUGGCGGACGGGUGAGUAAUGUAUGGGGAACUGCCUGAUGGAGGGGGAUAACUACUGGAAACGGUAGCUAAUACCGCAUACCAUCGGAUGUGCCCAGAUGGGAUUAGCUAGUAGGUGGGGUAAAGGCUCACCUAGGCGACGAUCCCUAGCUGGUCUGAGAGGAUGACCAGCCAAACUGGAACUGAGACACGGCCCAGACUCCUACGGGAGGCAGCAGUGGGGAAUAUUGCACAAUGGGCGCAAGCCUGAUGCAGCCAUGCCGCGUGUAUGAAGAAGGCUUUAGGGUUGUAAAGUACUUUCAGCGGGGAGGCGUUACCCGCAGAAGAAGCACCGGCUAACUCCGUGCCAGCAGCCGCGGUAAUUC
Molecule: ribosomal RNA, 406 nt
Filed under: uncultured bacterium
Lineage: Bacteria
Description: partial 16S ribosomal RNA
Rfam family: Bacterial small subunit ribosomal RNA
Source: RNAcentral